GAGUUUGAUCAUGGCUCAGAUUGAACGCUGGCGGCAUGCCUUACACAUGCAAGUCGAACGGCAGCACGGGAGCUUGCUCCUGGUGGCGAGUGGCGAACGGGUGAGUAAUGCAUCGGGAACGUAUCCUGGAUGGGGGAUAACGUAGCGAAAGUUACGCUAAUACCGCAUAUUCUGUAGAGCAGGAAAGCGGGGGACCUUCGGGCCUCGCGCUCUUGGAGCGGCCGAUGUCGGAUUAGCUAGUUGGUGAGGU
RNAcentral lists this ribosomal RNA (250 nucleotides) under bacterium enrichment culture clone ALO1_GLFRUDD03HETLK. RNAcentral describes it as "partial 16S ribosomal RNA". It matches the Rfam family "Bacterial small subunit ribosomal RNA", at positions 9 to 258 of the family's 1533-position model. The record is from RNAcentral.